AAUGUCUUAUAUUACUUUACAGAGGGAGUACAUUAUUACUUUCCUAAAACAUUGCAUGCAAACCAGCAGUUUUCUAGGCAAAAGCCCCGCUAGAAGUAAUAAUACAUCUAUCACUUUCAUAGGUACACCAAUAUGUCUGUCAGCCAUAUUAUAUAGUAACACAACCAAGGUGCGUGGCCAGAACACCUACAAAUGAGUCUUCACAAGUCCUGUACAAAGUAGUUAUAGAAGCACACUCCAAGCCUCAUGCCCCUGACCUGAAAAAGGGGCGACGAGUGGUAAGGUGAAAGGGCUGCUGACUACAAAAUUUAUAACACUACACUGCUCCAAAAUCAUUUCUGAUCAUAACAAUCAUAUGCAAAUUGACAUUUGAUUAGAGCCAUAUAACCGAGGCAUAAUUACAUUUGUGAAAAUCAUUCACACGACUUUCAGGAGACGUGGGGAUCCUCUUUGAAUAAAGAAUACUCCUGAGAUACAUCUGCAUAAGCUUCUUACUACAAAAAUGAACUAAGGUUUUCACUCUCCAACUCCAACAAACUGAUAGCAAGUAAUUCAGAGAACAAGGAGGUAACCAAAUACUGUAUAUGCUACCAGCAUAUGUUUUCAGCCAAAUACACAAAGAACAGGGGAAGCAAAAUACUGUAUACAUCGAAUGGCUUGGUGUGUAUAGACGAGUAGAAGGAAGAUGUGGUGAAAAUAGCAGAACCUGAAUCAGCUAAUAAUCGUGUCAAUCAAACUAUAUCAAAAAAUGAAGAGAAAACACACUCACCAGUUAUAAUAUAAUAACACAAUCAACACAAACACAUGCCACUAAUGGGGGAUAUAGCAUCCGAGGUUGCAGUUGUAAAGGGGGCAAGGCACAGCCUAUCCACCGAAGACUAGGCACUAUUCAUCCACAGAUGUUCAUAAUGGCAAAGGGGCAAAAAGGUUUACUGAUCAAAUCAGCUGUUUGAGUUUCAGUGUAUUCAAAAUCCUGCUGCUGAUAUAGCAUAUUAGGCAUUUCAUUACUCAAGAUUGUUUAGCUAGAUGCAGUUAUGCUGAAUUUACCAUUACCAAACCAAUCUUGGGAAAAAUGGCAUAAUAAUGCUAGUAGGCAGUAGUACAUGAAUUAGUAUUACUGCAGAAUUGCCUUUGUUGUACUUCAAACAGUGAUAAUCAGUUUGCAAGCAGAUAUGGCAAUAACCUUUUUAAGAUCUUCAGUCAACCUGCGUAUAUAGCCUUAGGCAUUUCUUUCAUGAAGAAUUGUUAAUCCAGAUGUGUAUUCAUAUUAUAUUCAAAAACCUAAGGAAAAUAAGAAUCUUUGAGAGGAAAUAUUAAGGAAUACAAACACAUACGACCCUUUUGGUCCAGCGAAUUUUUUUAUGACAAAAGAGGUUUCAGUACAAAGGAUAUUUUUUGAUCCAUUCAGAAAUUUGUACAAAGUGAACAUGAAUAUACUCAUUAUACCAGGAGAUAUCACUCCGGUAACCAAAUCACGCUCGCUCAAGUCCUAAUUUUCACUCAAACCGAUCGCAACUGGACAAUCUACCAGCUUGUUUUCAUAGAAGAACAGUUCAGAUACCUCAACUUGCAUGCAGAAGAUAAACUUACCUGCUGAAGCAAUACAUCACAACAGCAUAUCUAAGAGAGCAACUGUCUUAUGUAUUGUCUCCAUCGAGUCCACCAAGCAUGCCUUACAACUUCAACUCGUCCGUUUCCACCUCUAAUGC
This 1709-nucleotide long non-coding RNA is filed under the name Triticum aestivum (bread wheat). RNAcentral's name for it is "long non-coding RNA (TAES_LNC011282)". The record is from RNAcentral. Lineage: Eukaryota; Viridiplantae; Streptophyta; Magnoliopsida; Poales; Poaceae.